This 497-nucleotide ribosomal RNA is filed under the name uncultured bacterium. RNAcentral describes it as "partial 16S ribosomal RNA". It matches the Rfam family "Bacterial small subunit ribosomal RNA", at positions 28 to 507 of the family's 1533-position model. The record is from RNAcentral.
GAUGAACGCUGGCGGCGUGCCUAAUACAUGCAAGUCGAGCGAACGGACGAGAAGCUUGCUUCUCUGAUGUUAGCGGCGGACGGGUGAGUAACACGUGGAUAACCUACCUAUAAGACUGGGAUAACUUCGGGAAACCGGAGCUAAUACCGGAUAAUAUUUUGAGCCGCAUGGUUCAAAAGUGAAAGACGGUCUUGCUGUCACUUAUAGAUGGAUCCGCGCUGCAUUAGCUAGUUGGUAAGGUAACGGCUUACCAAGGCAACGAUGCAUAGCCGACCUGAGAGGGUGAUCGGCCACACUGGAACUGAGACACGGUCCAGACUCCUACGGGAGGCAGCAGUAGGGAAUCUUCCGCAAUGGGCGAAAGCCUGACGGAGCAACGCCGCGUGAGUGAUGAAGGUCUUCGGAUCGUAAAACUCUGUUAUUAGGGAAGAACAUAUGUGUAAGUAACUGUGCACAUCUUGACGGUACCUAAUCAGAAAGCCACGGCUAACUACGUG